Molecule: long non-coding RNA, 184 nt
Organism: Chrysemys picta bellii (western painted turtle)
Lineage: Eukaryota; Metazoa; Chordata; Testudines; Emydidae
Source: RefSeq, a predicted model, not a curated record
GAGCACGAAGCAGCAGUCCAGCCCCGACACAAUCUGACCCGCGGGCCCCUCCGUAGCUGGAGCUCCUCGGCUAGUAGGGUCCCCAACGGAUUAACGGCGGCGGCGGCGGCGACUGGCGGAAGUGACGCGCUGACUGACAGGAAGUGUCCACCUAACAGCAUCCAGAGACACUAUGGUGGAGCCA